CCAGGCUCCACAGUGAGCCCGUCCCAGACUCCCACUCCCCCAGAGCCACAGUGAUCAAAGGAAGGGAGGAAAACACGCUGGAACCCCUUGGACCUGCUGCUGAAUGGGGAUUUUGGUCGGAUGUUGAGUUUACCUGGAAUGCCCCGGUGCUAUUUUGGGAAGACAGACAUCCUAUGGAAACAAUGAAGUGGAAAAGAAAACAACUAAAGCAAAAUCCAGAGCCCAGUUUCUGCUAACCCAGCUCCACACAGCCUGGGCAGACCGUGGAAGCCCGUCAGGCGUGCAAAGGGCUGAGACUGAGUGUGUCCGGUUUACCAGCAGAGAAUGCGAGAUGUAGAAAAAGGGUCCCUUUGACAUUUCCAACAAGUCAGUGACGAAAUGGAAAGAUCCUGGGAACAGUCUGCAGAGCAGUUCUGACUGUGGCCAGCUGGCACAAGCACCAAUUUCCAGCCACUAACCACAGUACCCGUUCUCAAAGGUGCAGGAGCCAGACAAGUAAAUACACCCAGGCUGCUGACUGCGGGCAAAGCUUGGCACCUAGGCCAGCCUCAAAUUCCCAGCUGGCUCCUUUGUGUCAUGGGAGCAUCCCAGACUCCUCUCCUCCAGAUGAAAAAAAAUGAGCCAUCUUCCUAAAACAGCCUGCGGAGCUAGCUAGAGAACAUGCAGAACCUGUAAGCCCAGGAGCUCAGCUGUCCCAUCCUGGAAACAGACAUCUGUCUGCGCCUUCGUCUACAGAGCCCUGGCCCUCGCCUCUCGCUGUGAGCACCGCUCUCUCGUCUGCGUUCCAGUCGAGAGAUAAACAGAAUGGACUCGGAGGUGGACAUUGUUCUCCAACAGGCCUGACUGCAGCCCAGCUGGGCUAUGAGGAAGGAACUGUGCUCUGUGAUCAUGCCGGACAGAAGGAGAACAGAGUCAAAUGGGCUAACAUGUGUCUGUGCUCCUCUUGAGAGGCAAACCACAGGCCCAAAUCACAGCACUAACAAGUGGCAAAGCAAAGGAAGGAAUGCAGGUGCAGCUGGUUCCAGCGCUCAGGGCUCCUUCCUUCCCUGGAUGCGGAGAAUAUUCUAGCCUUCCUCGCCAAAACAGGCAGAGCAGAGCCAAGAGAUUUUGCAAAGACUGAAUCAUGAAGAAGGAACCAGGCCUCCCCUGGAUGAGCCUUGGAAAGCCCAACCACAGGGUCACAAAAAACAGUGAGGAAACAGAGGCACAGAGAGGUUAAGCAGUCUGCCUGAGGUCACCAAGUGAGAGAACUGAGAACUGUGAACCCACAGCUUUUGGAGUCUUAUACCUCUAGGUGGGAGAAUUUUCAGUCUGGGACAUGACUGAGGGAGUGGAAAUAAAGCGGAGGUUAGCAGUGUCCUUACUCCCACGAGGACAGGCCAGGAGCUCUGGCCCUGCCACAUUCAGGCCCCUGGGACCCACAGCACUGCAGCAGAACCAGAGAAGGUGAGACACUCUGACCACAUCCCACAAGGAUUAAAUCUGAAUCUCCAGGUGCAGCCCAGGAAUCAGCUUGUUAGAGCCUCUCUGGUGAUUCCAAUGCACAGUCAAGGUUGAGAAGCAACCUCCCCGCUGUAUAGAUGGGGACACUGAGCCCAGGGAGGGGAAUUAGAUUUCCCCAGGCUGUGCAACCCAUACCACCACUAAGGACUCCAUCCAGGGUCUUCUAAUUCUCCAUCAGCCAGGACUUGCUUGCAGGACCACCUCUCCCACUGACUAGCUGUGUAGCCUUGAGUGGGUCAUUUAACUUCACGAUGAAAGACUUUACUUAAACUCUUAAGAUGGCACAAGUGCUCAAGAAACACCAGUGUUCUCCCUGCCCAGCCCCCACCUCAAAUUCAGCCCACUAUCUACUAUAUAACAAUGGACAGAGAAAAUUGUGAGCAAGGAUGGAAUUGAGAAUCUGACUGUUCUUGAGCCUUAAGGACAGGACUUGGAGUACCCCAGAAGUGUUGCCUGCCCAGAGGAGUCCUGGGGAAGGACCCAGAUGCCAAACCAAUGACCUGUGAGAGGUGACUGGGGGAGGGGGUGAGAAGGAGCGCACAGGGAUGAGAUUGCUGCUGCGGAGCUGGAAAGGCAGCCCAGAGUGGGUCAAUCCCGUCCUACCAGGAAAUGCAGGUAGUGCCACCAGGUGGAGAGUGAUGCUUUGUCUUAAGAGCCCUGGCAAGGCACUCUUAAGAUAGCGACAGCUGAAAGGCAAGUGAGGGCAUGUGCUCCCCCACCCGCACACGCCUGUGCUGUAUAAAUAAACGAUUGAUUACAACUCUAAUAUAAAUAUCCCACACUGUUAACAGUGUUUAUUUCCAGCACAGUGGAAUGAUGGUGAACUUUCACUUUCCUGGUCGUCUGUUUCUUUGAUAUUUAGCUUUUUCAUAACAACCAUUGCACUACUUUUGUCAUAAAAAAUAACGAAUUUUUAAAUGCUGAUAUAAAUAUUUGCAGAACACCAGGUACCUAUGCUUUCAAAUGGCCUUUCAGAGAAAGUCAGUCAUUUGGAGAAAGAUUUUCAAAGUAUUGCGACACAGGUGCAAUUUGGUGCCCUCUCCCUUGUCUUAGCUGUUUUAAAUGACAGCUUCCUCAGUCCUGGGGCUGCCCUUCACACUCCCAAUGGAAGCAUUUUAGGCCUACUCAGCUCUUCUGUCCUUACUAUUACUCUGCCAUCAAAAAGAAAAAGAAAAAGAAAAAACCCUGCCUUUCUCCCCCGCCAUGGCCAGGUGCUCUGUCUCUACAGUCACAUCGGAGACACACAUCUUUCAUGCCUCGUU
Molecule: long non-coding RNA, 2765 nt
Organism: Equus caballus (horse)
Lineage: Eukaryota; Metazoa; Chordata; Mammalia; Perissodactyla; Equidae
Source: Ensembl